This 482-nucleotide ribosomal RNA is filed under the name uncultured bacterium. Its description in RNAcentral is "partial 16S ribosomal RNA". It matches the Rfam family "Bacterial small subunit ribosomal RNA", at positions 30 to 507 of the family's 1533-position model. The record is from RNAcentral.
AUUGAACGCUGGCGGCAUGCUUUACACAUGCAAGUCGAACGGUAACAGGCCGCAAGGUGCUGACGAGUGGCGAACGGGUGAGUAAUGCAUCGGAACGUGCCCAGUCGUGGGGUAUAACUACUCGAAAGAGUAGCUAAUACCGCAUACGAUCUAUGGAUGAAAGCGGGGGACCGUAAGGCCUCGCGCGAUUGGACCGGCCGAUGUCAGAUUAGGUAGUUGGUGGGGUAAAGGCUCACCAAGCCAACGAUCUGUAGCUGGUCUGAGAGGACGACCAGCCACACUGGGACUGAGACACGGCCCAGACUCCUACGGGAGGCAGCAGUGGGGAAUUUUGGACAAUGGGCGCAAGCCUGAUCCAGCAAUGCCGCGUGCAGGAAGAAGGCCUUCGGGUUGUAAACUGCUUUUGUACGGAACGAAACGGCUCUGGUUAAUACCCGGGGCUAAUGACGGUACCGUAAGAAUAAGCACCGGCUAACUACGUG